Xiphophorus couchianus (Monterrey platyfish) is the source of this 158-nucleotide long non-coding RNA. RefSeq lists it as uncharacterized. The transcript is spliced from 3 exons. Lineage: Eukaryota; Metazoa; Chordata; Actinopteri; Cyprinodontiformes; Poeciliidae. The record is from RefSeq and is a predicted model, not a curated record.
AUUUUGUGAAUAUUUUCUCUGCAUUAAAAAAUGUGUCGGCGAUAUUCAGUGGCGCACAGUGGGUUGUUUGAUAUCAGACAGAAUGGGUCAGGAGAGGAACCGCAGACCCGUCAGAACCUAAAGAACCAGACAUCAGUCUCUUCAUCCCUCAGUCAUUU